AUACAGAUCAUGGAAAGGGAGUCGCGAGUUAGAUUCCUUCCAACUUUGUGCAGUGCUAGAGGAGUACGUCCUACAGGCAGUUUUGGGGUAUUUAUGUAUAUAUUGUUGUUGUCUGGGUACUCGCUGGAGCGAGUGGUGUAGUAGACAUGUGUAUGUAUUGGAACCCCUCGAGGUUUUAUUUAAAUAUGUUUACAGUUCUGUUAGCAGCUCUAUAUUUCUAGUUGUAGUUUUGUAUGAUUAUAGGUAUAGGUAUAGCUAUCACUUCGUAUAUAGGAAAAAUUCCUUUGUAUACGGCGGAUUUGUCGGCGUGGCCGAAAAAAUGUGUAAUCCGGGACGUGACAUUAACGGUGUAAAACAAUCCAAAUCUAAUAAAAUUUUUAUAGAAAAUUCUUUUCACUAUUUAGAGUAAAAUCAGCAUCUCUUAUCUUAAAUUCAAGUCGUUUAUCAUCAUUUUUUAUGAGAUUUUUAUUUUCAGCUGUUCAUUUUUAGACUGCUCGUUUGAUAGAUAAAUAAUACCGAAAAAUUAUGAAAUUUAGUUUUCAAAUACUUUCAAUAGUGUAGAUUAAGUUUAACGGAGUAGAUCGUCGAUUUGAAUGCUGCAUCAUUAAAAACAACUUGGUAGCACGGGGGCCUCCGUGCCACCGAUAGUAUAUUAGUCUGGCUCUAUAUAUAUAAAUUUAUGAAUAAUAUUAAAAAAAAUUCUAAUAUUUUCUGUUAUUAUCGGCGUAGAAUUUAUAAAUAAAAAAAUAUAAAAAAAUUAAUUCGAAUGAAAA
RNAcentral lists this long non-coding RNA (773 nucleotides) under Ananas comosus (pineapple). RNAcentral's name for it is "long non-coding RNA (ACOM_LNC007590)". The record is from RNAcentral. Lineage: Eukaryota; Viridiplantae; Streptophyta; Magnoliopsida; Poales; Bromeliaceae.